RNAcentral lists this ribosomal RNA (471 nucleotides) under uncultured bacterium. RNAcentral's name for it is "bacterial SSU rRNA". It matches the Rfam family "Bacterial small subunit ribosomal RNA", at positions 29 to 514 of the family's 1533-position model. The record is from RNAcentral.
AACAAACGCUGGCGGCGUGCCUAAUACAUGCAAGUCGAACGGGGAAAGUAGCAAUACGAGUACUAGUGGCGCACGGGUGAGGAAUACAUGGGUAAUCUGCCCUCGAGCUCGGGAUAACCAGUCGAAAGACUGGCUAAUACCGGAUAUGACCACAAGAUCUGAGGAUCAAGGGGUAAAAGGUUUUUCGCUUGAGGAUGAGCCCAUGUGGGAUUAGCUAGUUGGUGUAGGUAACGGCUCACCAAGGCGACGAUCCCUAACUGGUCUUAGAGGAUGAUCAGUCACACUGGAACUGAGACACGGUCCAGACUCCUACGGGAGGCAGCAGUAGGGAAUAUUGCACAAUGGAGGAAACUCUGAUGCAGCGACGCCGCGUGAGUGAUGAAGGCCUUCGGGUCGUAAAGCUCUGUCGUAUGGGACUAACAAAAUGAAGGUACCAUGCAAGAAAGGAAUCGGCUAACUUCGUGCCAGCAG